Molecule: long non-coding RNA, 285 nt
Organism: Phalaenopsis equestris
Lineage: Eukaryota; Viridiplantae; Streptophyta; Magnoliopsida; Asparagales; Orchidaceae
Exons: 4
Source: RefSeq, a predicted model, not a curated record
UUUGCUUAUGUGGUUGUCCAAUAUCACCAUUAUGUUGUUGUCGCCUAAGUUUCUAACCACAGCCUGCCAUUGACUUAGGUCAAGCACUGGUUUUCAAAUACGACCAGUAUGUUGUUCCCUCAAGUUUGAAACCUAUUAGGAAACAUGCGUUAACACUGGCUUUACAGCAUCGUUGCCGAAAUCUCAAGCAAAAAAUCUCCUAGAUUUCGGUAAACUACUCAUGAAAACAUCAAUGAAAUACACUGUGCUCACCUUGUAAGCCUCAAGGAGAGGGAGAUCAACCAG